Molecule: non-coding RNA, 194 nt
Filed under: Clostridiaceae bacterium
Lineage: Bacteria; Bacillati; Bacillota; Clostridia; Eubacteriales; Clostridiaceae
Also listed under: 1 other name
Description: 6S RNA
Rfam family: 6S / SsrS RNA
About the family: E. coli 6S RNA was the first non coding RNA to be sequenced, but its function was unknown until recently.
Source: RNAcentral
GAAUCCCUGCCCUGUACGACAGCAGCCCCUUUUUAACCCACAUUUUUAGUACGGGAUUUCGGAAAGUUUUGGCAUUGAGCAGCAGGCCUCCCGGGUAUACACGGACGUUGGAAGCGCAGACAUGCCAAACAGAAAACCCACCUGCCGAGUCGUGCAGGUUACUAAUUGGGCUGCAUCGGCAGGGCGGGGCUUUU